This 1356-nucleotide long non-coding RNA is filed under the name Oryza brachyantha (malo sina). Its description in RNAcentral is "long non-coding RNA (OBRA_LNC002019)". The record is from RNAcentral. Lineage: Eukaryota; Viridiplantae; Streptophyta; Magnoliopsida; Poales; Poaceae.
CUCCCUCCCCACUCCCCUCCCAUCCAUCCAUCCCUGCAGCAGCGACGAUCUAGGGCUCCUUCCCACCAUCAAUGCCAUAGGUUCGUAGUCCCUUGAACCCAAAAAAAACUGCUACGUCGAUGUUGUUACUGCAUAAAAUUUUUGUUACUGCAAAUUCAGGAUUUGUUUUACUGCAUAAAUAAUUUUGGCCCCCUCCCUACCACAAAUUCAGGCUUCGAUCUACUACAUAAAUUAGUUAGAUUCCAGAAAAAUUACUAUUUUAUGUUUUUGCUGAAAACCCCAGGAUUUCCUCCCUUUCGAGGUUUUGUGUUACUGCAUGGUAAUUAUGUUACUGUAAAAUUUCAUGCUUUCAUUGCUGAAAAAAUGAGGCAUUUCAGCGUUUUAUGAUACUACAUGAAUAGUCGGGUUACUGUAAAAAAAAUUAUGGUUUGUGUUACUAAAAAAAUCAGGAUCACCCCUUCCCAAUUGAGGCUUUGUGUUACUGCAUAAUGAUUAUGUUUUUAUUGUAAAAUUCAUGCUUUAUGUUGAUGCAAAAAAAUUCAGUACAUGGAUGAAGUGUUUGAAAAAGAAAAAGAACACACGAUAAGGUCAAUGAGGAAGAAGACGAAGAGGAUUUUUUGUACUUAAACUAGUUUGAUUUACUUUUUGUACUUGUUAUUCCAGACAUACACUUAUGAUGCUAUAAUGAUAAUACAAUGUUAUGCAGUUCUGCUAUAUUUUAUGCUCUGGUUGGUUUGUUGAUUGCAACAUUGUACAACUAAUGUGAUGUCUGUUACUGCAUAUAUACAUAUGUGUUACUGCAAAAAUGUACAUAUGUUAUUAUGUACUAUGGAAAAUUUUGGCAGAGUUCCUCCUACAGAUAUGGACAUCUAAAACAGACAAUUAGUGGUAAAAUAUACAAGGAUGUAUGAUUAAAAGAAUCACAAUGUUACCACUGUUACUGUAGAUAUACACAUGUGUUGCUGCAAACAUAUACGUAUGUUAUUGCAUAUUAUGAAAUCAAUUGAUGUCUGUUACUGCAUAUAUACAUGUGUGUUACUGUAGAAAUGUAAUAUGUUAUUGUGUACUAUGAAAAAUUUUGGCAGAGUUCCUCCUGCAGAUAUGGACAUCCAGGACAGGCAAUUAGUGAAAAAAUGUACAAGAAUGAAUGGAAAAAAAAUCACAAUGUUACCGCUGUUACUACAGAUAUACACAUGUGUUGCUGCGAACAUAUACAUAUGUUACUGCAUAUUGUGGAAGCAAUUGAUGUCUGUUACUGCAUAUAUACAUGUGUGUUACUGUAGAAAUGUAAUAUGUUAUUGUGUACUAUGAAAAAUUUUGGCAGAGUUCCUCCUACAGAUAUAGACAUCCAUGAUA